AUGUGCUUGGCUGAGGAGCCAAU
Molecule: non-coding RNA, 23 nt
Filed under: Xenopus tropicalis (tropical clawed frog)
Lineage: Eukaryota; Metazoa; Chordata; Amphibia; Anura; Pipidae
Also listed under: 1 other name
Source: RNAcentral